Long non-coding RNA from Venturia canescens, 1231 nucleotides. RefSeq lists it as uncharacterized. The record is from RefSeq and is a predicted model, not a curated record. Lineage: Eukaryota; Metazoa; Arthropoda; Insecta; Hymenoptera; Ichneumonidae. The transcript has 3 exons.
GCACGGGUUUGUCUGAAAUAUAUUGAAAAAGGAAUGAGCAAUUUUUCUUGCGAGUGAAACAGAGACCAAGAAUUGUGUGGAAAUAUCAAGAAAUUCGUGUGGAUAAUAUGGAAGGGAUCUUUCGAGGGUACUUAUCGUUGGUUACUUUUCAGGAAUUGGAAAAAAUCUUGUAACGAGAAAUCCUUCAUCUUGUGGGAAGCCAGCGGAGCAAAAGUCUUGCGCGGAGGACAAAAUUCAUUCGCAGUCACCGCCUACGACAAUUGGUUAAACCUUUUUUGAACCUAAAAAGCAAAUCUGCGAGAAAAAUAGGAUGAUUUGAAGAAUGAUACUAAAAAAUAUUGUUUUUGCUGAGUUGCGACGACGCAAACUUCAAUAUCAUCUCAAGAGGUAAGAUGGAAGUGGCUUGUAUGACUCACUGAUAGAGUCGAGCGGCAAAGUCGUGUUGGUAAAUAUACAAGCAAGACGACCUAUGCACACGAAUAUAUAUAUAUACGUGGUCGAAUACACAUAUAUGAUGCUCAAACAUAAACUGGAUUUGUCUAUAAAAAGCAUAUGCCGUCUGCUCACCGGGCGCAGCGUUAUGUAAUCUUUUAAUGGCUAUGGUGCCUCGAGAAAUGCAGCUUGAGAAUGAAAAUUUUAUUUCCUACGUAUCAUGCAAAGAGAAAAAAAAGAGUUGAACAAAUUUGUCUAAUCGUUUUAUCGCUCUUGCUAAUUUUUACUAAUUUUUAUAAAUUGUUUGAUUGAAUUCUGUUGUUUCAACGAACGUUAAUGCUAUAUUCUAGUUACAUUUUUUUCAACAAAAAUAUGUAUUUUCAUCCACAUUGAGACAGAAUUAUCAUAAUUUUUAUUAUUAAAGAUUUUCCAACUAAAAGUUGCAUGAACAUAAUUUUUUCUUUAAUACACAACCGUAUCAGCUGACUCGUCUGUCUUAUAACACGGAAUUAUUCAUAGCAAGGUCAUAAAAGCCAGCACGUUCUGCAUUCUUGUUUGAAAGCAUGAAACCAUAUUGCAGCUCCAUGAAAAUCUAUAAUUCCGAGCGAAUAUUAAAAAUCGAAUUUAUUUUUCCAGUUUCCACGUUCCAGCAAAGAUCUUACUCGUAAUUCCGUGUUGGAAAAAUAUUUCGAAUUUUGAAUGUACGAUUGGUGACGAAAUUCUAAUUCGCCAGAAAAAUGUUUAUUUGUAACUAGUUUAUAAUUAUCCAAUUGUUUUCAAAAAUAAAAUUCGGCGUGUU